RNAcentral lists this ribosomal RNA (233 nucleotides) under Naumovozyma dairenensis. Lineage: Eukaryota; Fungi; Ascomycota; Saccharomycetes; Saccharomycetales; Saccharomycetaceae. The record is from RNAcentral.
CCUUCUCAAACAACUCUUGUUUGGUAGUGAGUGAUACUCUUGCGAGUUAACUUGAAAUUGCUAGCCAUGUAGGCUGUGUAACAUGCUGAUGCUUAGGGCGGAGUGAUCUGUCCGGGCUCGUGCUGAUACCGAUUGUCGUAUUAGGUUUUACCAACUUCGGCGAGAGUGUUAUUGGUGUGUGGUCAUUUAAGCUUCGGGAAGUGGCGUAGUCUGGCGAACAGUACUCUUUAAGU